GUGGAGCGAGCCGAUGGUAUUUUAAGGACAAAAUGGGGAAAAUCGUGCGUUGGUUGUCACCGGUGCUCAGGACAGGAGAGGACGUUCAUUUAAGGCUUGCUUGAGAGGCCGCGUGGCGUUGGCGGAGGCGCGAUCUGGAGUACGCAUCACAAGCGGAGCAGCGGGGAAGAGUACCGCCUGCCAAAGUGACACAAAAGUGACUGACCACUCAGAUGGAAAUGGUGCAUGUGACAAAACAGUGCUAUUAACAUAAUAAAGGAAUUCCACUUACAAAAAAAAAAACCUGAACAUCUGCUAGGUUGGGCGAGAG
This is a long non-coding RNA of Phycodurus eques (leafy seadragon), 310 nucleotides long. RefSeq lists it as uncharacterized. The record is from RefSeq and is a predicted model, not a curated record. NCBI's taxonomy places the organism in Eukaryota, Metazoa, Chordata, Actinopteri, Syngnathiformes, Syngnathidae. The transcript is spliced from 3 exons.